This 376-nucleotide ribosomal RNA is filed under the name uncultured bacterium. Its description in RNAcentral is "partial 16S ribosomal RNA". It matches the Rfam family "Bacterial small subunit ribosomal RNA", at positions 523 to 897 of the family's 1533-position model. The record is from RNAcentral.
AUACGUAGGGGGCGAGCGUUGUCCGGAAUGAUUGGGCGUAAAGGGCGCGUAGGCGGCCCGGUAAGUCUGGAGUGAAAGUCCUGUUUUUAAGAUGGGAAUUGCUUUGGAUACUGUCGGGCUUGAGUGCAGGAGAGGUAAGUGGAAUUCCCAGUGUAGCGGUGAAAUGCGUAGAGAUUGGGAGGAACACCAGUGGCGAAGGCGACUUACUGGACUGUAACUGACGCUGAGGCGCGAAAGUGUGGGGAGCAAACAGGAUUAGAUACCCUGGUAGUCCACACUGUAAACGAUGAAUGCUAGGUGUAGGGGGUAUCGACCCCUUCUGUGCCGCAGUCAACACAAUAAGCAUUCCGCCUGGGGAGUACGGCCGCAAGGUUGA